RNAcentral lists this long non-coding RNA (530 nucleotides) under Calidris pugnax (ruff). Its description in RNAcentral is "lncRNA (ENSCPUG00000008946.1)". The record is from RNAcentral. Lineage: Eukaryota; Metazoa; Chordata; Aves; Charadriiformes; Scolopacidae.
UGUAUUGUAGCACAUAAUGAUGGACCAUCGCUGAGCUCUGCAGGUCUGAGAGAGGAAACUUUACUCAACUGCCGGCAGAAAAUUUAGGAUUCUUUCCGAUGAAGUUAUGAGGCAUUGGUUACUGUAAACAUAUGUUAAAACUGUGAGCUGGGAAGUUCAUCAACUUUGAUCAAUGGCAGCUUGAUUGACUGUGCAGUUAAGGGACUUGAAGAGGGGAAAAAAAACGUCAGAUUAUAAAAUUUCUGGAUUCCUCAGGCAUAAAUUCUCAUGAAAUUGAAUGCAAGAAACUGUCUGGUCAUGCUGGAGGACUGAAGGUAACUUCAACAAUUUGUUUCUCGAAUUCACCCCACCUUCCUUCUGCUGAGGAAAACAGUGACCUGCCUUCCAAAGAGUGUCAAAAUAAAGAGCUGGGAAACUUUCCCAAGGACGUUGUGUUCUCCCAGGUGACGGUGUCUGAGCUAAGAGUAAUUCUGUGCCUCCAUUGCACACCAGUGGGUGCCUAUGGAAUCGUGAAAAUUAAAAGCAGAUGA